GCUCCAACAAGUCAUUCGAUUUCGUUAAUCAUGUAUUUGGUGAAAGGGGUUAGCAUUUGAUACAAAUGGAAUAGCUUAUCCUUGUUAUUUUAUUAGCUCAGCUGUUUUUGGAGAAAACCAAAGCUAUUGUCAUUGCCAGCUCGUCGUCCACCGUCAGCCGUCCGAAGUAGGCGUUGUGCUAAAACCUUAACAUUGGCUCUAAAAUCAAAGUGCUUCCAUCUACAACUUUGAAACUUCAUAUGUAGAUGCACCUUGAUGAGUUCUACACGCCACACUCAUUUUUGGGUCACUAGGUCAAAGGUCAAGGUCACUGUGACCUCUAAUAUAAAACUUUAACAUAGGCUCUAAAAUCAAAGUGCUUCCACCUACAACUUUGAAACUUCAUAUGUAGAUGCACCUUGAUGAGUUCUACACGCCACACCCAUUUUUGGGUCACUAGGUCAAAGGUCAAGGUCAUUGUGACCUCUAAAAAAAAAUU
Molecule: long non-coding RNA, 478 nt
Organism: Dreissena polymorpha
Lineage: Eukaryota; Metazoa; Mollusca; Bivalvia; Myida; Dreissenidae
Exons: 2
Source: RefSeq, a predicted model, not a curated record